RNAcentral lists this ribosomal RNA (382 nucleotides) under uncultured marine Chaetocerotaceae. RNAcentral's name for it is "SSU rRNA". It matches the Rfam family "Eukaryotic small subunit ribosomal RNA", at positions 587 to 972 of the family's 1831-position model. The record is from RNAcentral. Lineage: Eukaryota; Bacillariophyta; Thalassiosirophyceae; Chaetocerotales; Chaetocerotaceae.
AGCUUCAGUAGCGUAUAUUAAAGUUGUUGCAGUUAAAAAGCUCGUAGUCGCAUUUCUGGCGAGAGGAUCCGGUCCGACCUUUUGGUGGGUUCUUGGGUCUUUUUCGCCAUCCUUGAGUGGUCCGUUCUGGCAUUAGGUUGUCGGAGCGUCAGCCGCUCAUCGUUUACUGUGAGAAAAUUAGAGUGUUCAAAGCAGGCUUAUGCCGUUGAAUAUAUUAGCAUGGAAUAAUAAGAUAGGACCUCGGUACUAUUUUGUUGGUUUGCGCACCAAGGUAAUGAUGAACAGGGACAGUUGGGGGUAUUUGUAUUUCGUUGUCAGAGGUGAAAUUCUUAGAUUUACGAAAGACAAACUGCUGCGAAAGCAUUUACCAAGGAUGUUUUCA